UUCAGAACAAAUACUUGGUUUCUUGUGUAUUUUUAUAUUUUAUUUAUGUUUUGGCUUUUCUAUAUUUUCAUAAGUGUUAUAUUUUUUCUAAUUUUUUAUCAUUUUUUGGUAUUUUUCUUAACGGUCAGAGAUAGUUGACCUAACAGGAGUGGCAAAAAGAAAAGGGAACAAAUGGAGUAGUGACAAAAGAGAAAAGCGCCAUUUUUUGAUGGUAGAAGAGAGAAGUGAAGUUCUUUCAGUGACGAAUCAGAUGUCCGUGACUUCUGCAAACUGGGAUGUAUGCACUCUGUUUGUGAAAAAAUAUACACCGCAUUUAGCAAUGAGGAAGCGAAUGAUGCCGUGGAACGUUGCAACGAUCGAUGCAUGCCUUAGUUUCUGCACCAAGGACGUUGACGCCGCUACUGUUGUUGCCUAAGCAAGUGCAUGCACUGGGGUUUCACGUGGUAGCCAAAGCCAUGUUGCUGUUAUGUCUUCAAUAAUUGGAUGCUUGCAUGCAUCCAACAAGCUGUGUCAUCUUGUUUCAGUUUCUUUCUUCUAUUUCGAAUAAGGGUCAGGGUGAUAUCAUUUUCUUUGGAGAAUGUGAUAAUCUAUGUCGAAUAUAACCUUGGCCAAUGAA
Long non-coding RNA from Phragmites australis (common reed), 616 nucleotides. RefSeq lists it as uncharacterized. The record is from RefSeq and is a predicted model, not a curated record. The transcript is spliced from 3 exons. NCBI's taxonomy places the organism in Eukaryota, Viridiplantae, Streptophyta, Magnoliopsida, Poales, Poaceae.